CCUACGGGAGGCAGCAGUGGGGAAUAUUGGACAAUGGGCGAAAGCCUGAUCCAGCAAUGCCGCGUGUGUGAAGAAGGCCUUCGGGUUGUAAAGCACUUUAAGCAGGGAAGAAAAAACUAGCGUUAAUAUCGUUAGUCUUGACGGUACCUGAAGAAUAAGCACCGGCUAACUCUGUGCCAGCAGCCGCGGUAAUACAGAGGGUGCAAGCGUUAAUCGGAUUUACUGGGCGUAAAGCGUGUGUAGGUGGUUGGAAAAGUCGAUUGUGAAAUCCCUGGGCUCAACCCGGGAACUGCUUUCGAAACUGUCUGACUAGAAUUCGGUAGAGGGAGGCGGAACUCCAGGUGUAGCGGUGAAAUGCGUAGAUAUCUGGAAGAACACCAAUGGCGAAGGCAACCUCCUGGGCCUGAAUUGACACUGAGACACGAAAGCGUGGGGAUCAAACAGGAUUAGAUACCCUGGCAGUCACGACCGUAACGANAGAGACUAGUACGUCGGUUGUCUCUGCGAGUCGGUGUCGUAGUCGUACGACGAGUAGUUACGUCCGCCGUCGGGGUAGGUACGGCCGGCCGUAACGGUUAGGUAAACGUUACGAAAGGUAAAGUUAGUUACGGCGUUGAGGACGUGCCGACGGACGACGACGAGGGAGGAGG
This 650-nucleotide ribosomal RNA is filed under the name uncultured bacterium. RNAcentral's name for it is "bacterial SSU rRNA". The stretch from base 1 to 546 matches the Rfam family "Bacterial small subunit ribosomal RNA", at positions 338 to 873 of the family's 1533-position model. The record is from RNAcentral.